GAUGAACGCUGGCGGCGUGCCUAAUACAUGCAAGUCGAGCGAACGGACGAGAAGCUUGCUUCUCUGAUGUUAGCGGCGGACGGGUGAGUAACACGUGGAUAACCUACCUAUAAGACUGGGAUAACUUCGGGAAACCGGAGCUAAUACCGGAUGAUAUUUUGAACCGCAUGGUUCAAAAGUGAAAGACGGUCUUGCUGUCACUUAUAGAUGGAUCCGCGCUGCAUUAGCUAGUUGGUAAGGUAACGGCUUACCAAGGCAACGAUGCAUAACCGACCUGAGAGGGUGAUCGGCCACACUGGAACUGAGACACGGUCCAGACUCCUACGGGAGGCAGCAGUAGGGAAUCUUCGGCAAUGGGCGAAAGCCGGACGGAGCAACGCCGCGUGAGUGAUGAAGGUCUUCGGAUCGUAAAACUCUGUUAUUAGGGAAGAACAUAUGUGUAAGUAACUGUGCACAUCUUGACGGUACCUAAUCAGAAAGCCACGGCUAACUACGUG
RNAcentral lists this ribosomal RNA (497 nucleotides) under uncultured bacterium. RNAcentral describes it as "partial 16S ribosomal RNA". It matches the Rfam family "Bacterial small subunit ribosomal RNA", at positions 28 to 507 of the family's 1533-position model. The record is from RNAcentral.